AAGCUCGUAGUUGAAUUUCGGGAUUAGUACGUCGGUCGUGCCUUAGGUACGUACUGGUGUUACUGGUUCCUACCUUCUGACGAACCAUCAUGUCAUUAAUUUGGUGUGGUGGGGAAUCAGGACAGUUACUUUGAAAAAAUUAGAGUNUUUAAAGCAGGCUCGCGCUUGAAUACAUUAGCAUGGAAUAAUGAAAUAGGACGUUGAUCCUAUUUUGUUGGUUUCUAGGAUUGACGUAAUGAUUAAUAGGGAUAGUUGGG
RNAcentral lists this ribosomal RNA (257 nucleotides) under uncultured Glomus. RNAcentral's name for it is "partial 18S ribosomal RNA". It matches the Rfam family "Eukaryotic small subunit ribosomal RNA", at positions 624 to 886 of the family's 1831-position model. Lineage: Eukaryota; Fungi; Glomeromycota; Glomeromycetes; Glomerales; Glomeraceae. The record is from RNAcentral.